Molecule: long non-coding RNA, 136 nt
Organism: Etheostoma spectabile (orangethroat darter)
Lineage: Eukaryota; Metazoa; Chordata; Actinopteri; Perciformes; Percidae
Exons: 3
Source: RefSeq, a predicted model, not a curated record
CCGAGUAGCAACGCGGAUUUCGGUGCCACUUUUUGUCUGGGCUUCUUUCUGACACAGCAGAAACGGACGUUAGAGGCAACAUGAGCAUCGCUGCAUGGGACGCUAGUUAACAGCUAACAAUACACUCGGCAGCAGG